UAUGUAGGGGGCAAGCGUUGUCCGGAUUUAUUGGGCGUAAAGAGCGUGUAGGCGGCUAGAUAGGUCCGUUGUGAAAACUCGAGGCUCAACCUCGAGACGUCGAUGGAAACCAUCUGGCUAGAGUCCGGAAGAGGAGAGUGGAAUUCCUGGUGUAGCGGUGAAAUGCGUAGAGAUCAUGAGGAAGACCAGUGGCGAAGGCGGGUCUCUGGACAGUUCCUGACACUGAGGCACGAAGGCCAGGGGAGCAAACGGG
Molecule: ribosomal RNA, 253 nt
Filed under: uncultured bacterium
Lineage: Bacteria
Description: partial 16S ribosomal RNA
Rfam family: Bacterial small subunit ribosomal RNA
Source: RNAcentral